Molecule: non-coding RNA, 385 nt
Organism: Ictidomys tridecemlineatus (thirteen-lined ground squirrel)
Lineage: Eukaryota; Metazoa; Chordata; Mammalia; Rodentia; Sciuridae
Source: RefSeq, a predicted model, not a curated record
UCCAAGAAGAAAAAGUAAAGCAAUAUGGUUGAAGAAUAAGGGUGAGGAAGAUGAACAGGAGGAAAUGUGGUAACUGAAUUGGAAUGGACUCAAAGCAUGGCUCCUAUAAGCUAUGUUCAGGAGAUUAAAUUUUAUUAUAAAGGUAUUAAAAGAAUUUGGAUGUCUUGAACCAAGUCAGCUCCCAUGACUCCCAUGUGUAUUCCACAUUUCGAAGUGACUAUGAAGCCCUCUCGGGAUUGAGAUGAAGGAAGUGUGCGGCAGGGAAUCAACAGCUUUCUUUAAAGAAAUAUCUUCUCUAAGUUUUGUCUCCCCUAAAAUUAUUUAUUCAUGUAUAUUCUUGAUAUGGCCCAAGGGUGUAAAGACAUGGACUAUUUCUUUUUUUUAA